AUUGAACGCUGGCGGCAGGCCUAACACAUGCAAGUCGAGCGGAUGAAGGGAGCUUGCUCCUGGAUUCAGCGGCGGACGGGUGAGUAAUGCCUAGGAAUCUGCCUGGUAGUGGGGGAUAACGUCCGGAAACGGGCGCUAAAACCGCAUACGUCCUGAGGGAGAAAGUGGGGGAUCUUUGGACCUCACGCUAUCAGAUGAGCCUAGGUCGGAUUAGCUAGUUGGUGGGGUAAAGGCCUACCAAGGCGACGAUCCGUAACUGGUCUGAGAGGAUGAUCAGUCACACUGGAACUGAGACACGGUCCAGACUCCUACGGGAGGCAGCAGUGGGGAAUAUUGGACAAUGGGCGAAAGCCUGAUCCAGCCAUGCCGCGUGUGUGAAGAAGGUCUUCGGAUUGUAAAGCACUUUAAGUUGGGAGGAAGGGCAGUAAGUUAAUACCUUGCUGUUUUGACGUUACCAACAGAAUAAGCACCGGCUAACUUCGUG
This 484-nucleotide ribosomal RNA is filed under the name uncultured bacterium. Its description in RNAcentral is "partial 16S ribosomal RNA". It matches the Rfam family "Bacterial small subunit ribosomal RNA", at positions 30 to 507 of the family's 1533-position model. The record is from RNAcentral.